UACGUAGGCAGCAAGCGUUGUUCGGAGUUACUGGGCGUAAAGGGUGCGUAGGCGGUCGGGUAAGUCUGAUGUGAAAUCUCACAGCUUAACUGUGAAACUGCAUUGGAUACUAUCCGGCUCGAGGAAUGGAGGGGAGACUGGAAUACUUGGUGUAGCAGUGAAAUGCGUAGAUAUCAAGUGGAACACCAGUGGCGAAGGCGAGUCUCUGGACAUUUCCUGACGCUGAGGCACGAAAGCCAGGGGAGCAAACGGG
RNAcentral lists this ribosomal RNA (253 nucleotides) under uncultured bacterium. RNAcentral's name for it is "partial 16S ribosomal RNA". It matches the Rfam family "Bacterial small subunit ribosomal RNA", at positions 524 to 776 of the family's 1533-position model. The record is from RNAcentral.